GGUCAAGUUAUUAAGGGUGCAGGGCGGAUGCCUUGGCACUAGGAGCCGAUGAAGGACGUGAUAAGCUGCGAUAAGCUUCGGGGAGUUGCACGUAAACUUUGAUCCGAAGAUUUCCGAAUGAGGAAACUCACUUAGAGUAAUGUCUAAGUAUCAUUAAGUGAAUACAUAGCUUAAUGAGGGGAACUCAGGGAACUGAAACAUCUAAGUACCUGAAGGAAGAGAAAGAAAUUCGAUUCCGUAAGUAGCGGCGAGCGAACGCGGAUUAGCCCAAACCAAUAAAGUUUUCUUUAUUGGGGUUGCGGACAUAUCAUAACGAAGAGGUAUCGUAAUUGAAGAGGUUUGGAAAGACCCACCACAGAAGGUAAUAGUCCUGUAUGUUAAACGAGAAGACUUCAGAUAUGAUCCAGAGUACCACGGGACACGUGAAACCCUGUGGGAAGCAGGAGGGACCACCCUCCAAGGCUAAAUACUACCUAGUGACCGAUAGCGUAUAGUACCGUGAGGGAAAGGUGAAAAGAACCCCGGGAGGGGAGUGAAAUAGAACCUGAAACCCUGCACUUACAAGCUGUGGAAGCACAUUUCUUGUGUGACCGCGUACUUUUUGUAGAACGGGCCAACGAGUUACGUUAAGUAGCAAGGUUAAGCACUUAAGGUGUGGAGCCGUAGCGAAAGCGAGUUUUAACUGAGCGUUCAGUUACUUGACGUAGACCCGAAACCGGGCGACCUACCCAUGAGCAGGAUGAAGCGAAAGUAAAAUUUCGUGGAGGUCCGAACCCACGAGCGUUGAAAAGCUCGGGGAUGACUUGUGGGUAGCGGUGAAAUUCCAAUCGAGCCCGGAGAUAGCUGGUUCUCCCCGAAAUAGCUUUAGGGCUAGCCUCAAGGUGAGAGAUACGGAGGUAGAGCACUGAAUGUCCUACGGGGUAUUGCACCUACCGAAGACUAUCAAACUCCGAAUGCCGUCAUCUUAUACUUGGGAGUCAGACUGUGGGUGAUAAGAUUCAUAGUCGAAAGGGCAACAGCCCAGAUCGUCAGCUAAGGUCCCUAAAUGUAAGUUAAGUGGUAAAGGAUGUGGGAUUGCACAGACAACCAGGAUGUUGGCUUAGAAGCAGCCAUCAUUCAAAGAGUGCGUAAUAGCUCACUGGUCGAGUGAUCCUGCGCCGAAGAUUUCCGGGGCUAAAACUUACUACCGAAGCUACGGCAUCAGUAAUGAUGUGUAGGGGAGCUUCCCAUACGGGUUGAAGCAUGACCGUAAGGACAUGUGGACAGUAUGGGAGUGAGAAUGUUGGCAUGAGUAGCGAGAUGUGGGUGAGAAUCCCACAGGCCGUAAACCCAAGGUUUCCAGGGGAAGGUUCGUCCGCCCUGGGUUAGUCGGGACCUAAGCUGAGGCCGAAAGGCGUAGGUGAUGGACAACAGGUUGAUAUUCCUGUACUACCGAUAACCGUUUGAGAGAAGGGAUGACACAGUAGGAUAAGCUAAGCACACUGUUGGUUAUGUGUGCCCAAGCAUUGAGGCAGUCAAAGUAGGCAAAUCCGCUUUGAUAAUGCUGGGAUGUGAUGGGGAGCGAAAUUUAGUAGCGAAGUAGCUGAUUUCACACUGUCAAGAAAAGUCUCUAUCGAGGUUAAAGGUACCCGUACCGCAAACCGACACAGGUGGGUGAGGAGAGUAUCCUAAGGCCAGCGAGAGAACUGUUGUUAAGGAACUCGGCAAAAUGACCCCGUAACUUAGGGAUAAGGGGUGCCACCAUCAGGUGGCCGCAGAGAAUAGGCCCAAGCGACUGUUUACCAAAAACAUAGGUUUCUGCUAAGUCGCAAGACGAUGUAUAGGAGCUGACGCCUGCCCGGUGCUGGAAGGUUAAGGGGAUCUGUUAGAGCAAUCGAAGCAGUGAACUUAAGCCCCAGUAAACGGCGGCCGUAACUAUAACGGUCCUAAGGUAGCGAAAUUCCUUGUCGGGUAAGUUCCGACCCGCACGAAAGGCGUAACGAUUUGGGCACUGUCUCAACAACAGACUCGGUGAAAUUGUAAUUCCGGUGAAGAUGCCGGAUACCUGCGACAGGACGGAAAGACCCCAUGGAGCUUUACUGUAGCUUGACAUUGGGUCUUGGUACUACAUGUACAGGAUAGGUGGGAGGCUUUGAAACCAGGACGCCAGUUUUGGCGGAGCCAUCCUUGGGAUACCACCCUUGUAGUACUGGGACUCUAACCAUAGGCCAUGAAUCUGGUCUUGGGACACUGUCAGGUGGGCAGUUUGACUGGGGCGGUCGCCUCCCAAAAGGUAACGGAGGCGCUCAAAGGUUCUCUCAGUACGGUCGGAAAUCGUACGUAGAGUGUAAAGGCAAAAGAGAGCUUGAUUGCAAGACAUACAGGUCGAGCAAGGAUGAAAAUCGGACUUAGUGAUCCGGUGGUUCUGCGUGGAAGGGCCAUCGCUCAACGGAUAAAAGCUACCCUGGGGAUAACAGGCUUAUCUCCCCCAAGAGUCCACAUCGACGGGGAGGUUUGGCACCUCGAUGUCGGCUCAUCACAUCCUGGGGCUGUAGUAGGUCCCAAGGGUUGGGCUGUUCGCCCAUUAAAGUGGUACGCGAGCUGGGUUCAGAACGUCGUGAGACAGUUCGGUCCCUAUCCGUCGCAGGCGUAGGAAAUUUGAGAAGACCUGUCCUUAGUACGAGAGGACCGGGAUGGACGUACCUCUGGUGUACCAGUUGUUCUGCCAAGGGCAUGGCUGGGUAGCUAUGUACGGAAUGGAUAAGCGCUGAAAGCAUCUAAGCGCGAAGCCAACUUCAAGAUAAGAUUUCCCACCGCAAGGGUAAGACCCCAGAAAGACUAUCUGGUUGAUAGGUCGAAGGUGUAAGUGCAGCAAUGUAUUUAGCUUAUCGAUACUAAUAGGUCGAGGACUUGACCAA
Molecule: ribosomal RNA, 2897 nt
Filed under: Clostridioides difficile
Lineage: Bacteria; Bacillati; Bacillota; Clostridia; Peptostreptococcales; Peptostreptococcaceae
Description: 23S ribosomal RNA
Rfam family: Bacterial large subunit ribosomal RNA
Source: RNAcentral